RNAcentral lists this long non-coding RNA (233 nucleotides) under Theobroma cacao (cacao). RNAcentral describes it as "long non-coding RNA (TCAC_LNC006169)". Lineage: Eukaryota; Viridiplantae; Streptophyta; Magnoliopsida; Malvales; Malvaceae. The record is from RNAcentral.
CUCUCUCCAUACCCAUUUGGGCAGCCAUGAAUUCACCAUGAAAACAUGAAAUCUAACCAUGGAAACUAAGGAGAAAAGCAUGGGAAAGGUAGAUCACAAGUCAAAAUAAGAAAUUUUACCAUUGAUUGCUUGAUUCAUUGAAAUCCCACACUUUUUCUUCAAUUUUCCCACCUAGGUUUUUGUUCUUUCUUUGUUCUUCUUCACUUCAUGUGGUGGCCGGCCAAAAUGAAGAA